Molecule: ribosomal RNA, 553 nt
Filed under: uncultured bacterium
Lineage: Bacteria
Description: partial 16S ribosomal RNA
Rfam family: Bacterial small subunit ribosomal RNA
Source: RNAcentral
UGGGGAAUUUCGGACAAUGGGCGAAAGCCUGAUCCAGCAAUGCCGCGUGUGUGAAGAAGGCCUUCGGGUUGUAAAGCACUUUUGUCCGGAAAGAAAUCCUUGGCUCUAAUACAGUCGGGGGAUGACGGUACCGGAAGAAUAAGCACCGGCUAACUACGUGCCAGCAGCCGCGGUAAUACGUAGGGUGCAAGCGUUAAUCGGAAUUACUGGGCGUAAAGCGUGCGCAGGCGGUUUGCUAAGACCGACGUGAAAUCCCCGGGCUUAACCUGGGAACUGCAUUUGUGACUGGCGGGCUAGAGUAUGGCAGAGGGGGGUAGAAUUCCACGUGUAGCAGUGAAAUGCGUAGAGAUGUGGAGGAAUACCGAUGGCGAAGGCAGCCCCCUGGGCCAAUACUGACGCUCAUGCACGAAAGCGUGGGGAGCAAACAGGAUUAGAUACCCUGGUAGUCCACGCCCUAAACGAUGUNAACUAGUUGUCGGGUCUUCAUUGACUUGGUAACGUAGCUAACGCGUGAAGUUGACCGCCUGGGGAGUACGGUCGCAAGAUUAAAACU